AUUGAACGCUGGCGGCAGGCCUAACACAUGCAAGUCGAGCGAGCGGCGGACGGGUGAGUAAUGUAUGGGGACUGCCCGAUAGAGGGGGAUAACUACUGGCAACGGUUGCUAAUACCGCAUACUCUCGGCUAACCCCUAUGGGAUUAGCUAGUCGGUUGGGUAAAGGCUCACCUAGGCGACGAUGUCUAGCUGGUCUGAGAGGAUGAUCAGCAACACUGGGGCUGAGACACGGCCCAGACUCCUACGGAGGCAGCAGUGGGGAAUAUUGCACAAUGGGCGCAAGCAUGAUGCAGCCAUGCCGCGUGUAUGAAGAAGGCCUUAGGGUUGUAAAGUACUUUCAGCGGGGAGGCGUUACCCGCAGAAGAAGCACCGGCUAACUCCGUGCCAGCAGCCGCGGUAAUAC
Molecule: ribosomal RNA, 403 nt
Filed under: uncultured bacterium
Lineage: Bacteria
Description: partial 16S ribosomal RNA
Rfam family: Bacterial small subunit ribosomal RNA
Source: RNAcentral